CCGCGAACGGGUGAGUAACACGUGGGUUACCUGCCCCGAUGAUUGGGACAACCCGAGGAAACUCGGGCUAAUACCAAAUGUGCUCCUGGCCGUAAUGGCCUUGAGGAAAGGAAGCUUCGGCCUCCGCAUCGGGAUGGGCCCGCGGCCCAUUAGCUAGUUGGUGGGGUAACGGCCUACCAAGGCAACGAUGGGUAGCUGGUCUGAGAGGACGAUCAGCCACACUGGGACUGAGACACGGCCCAG
This 243-nucleotide ribosomal RNA is filed under the name uncultured bacterium. RNAcentral's name for it is "partial 16S ribosomal RNA". It matches the Rfam family "Bacterial small subunit ribosomal RNA", at positions 96 to 334 of the family's 1533-position model. The record is from RNAcentral.